Molecule: non-coding RNA, 160 nt
Organism: Diaporthe ampelina
Lineage: Eukaryota; Fungi; Ascomycota; Sordariomycetes; Diaporthales; Diaporthaceae
Source: Rfam
CCAAAUAACCCAUUAUUUGAACUCAUGCGGCAUGCAUUCGAAGUAAUUCUUUUGUGUGAAGCCCGUUAAAUAACAAUCUUAUGAUUGUCCAACCUUUUUCUAUUAUGUUCAAGUUAAUAAGCAUAUAAGAAGGUUGGUGAGUUAGAUUACUAAGGAUAGU